RNAcentral lists this long non-coding RNA (675 nucleotides) under Salvator merianae (Argentine black and white tegu). RNAcentral describes it as "lncRNA (ENSSMRG00000018569.1)". The record is from RNAcentral. Lineage: Eukaryota; Metazoa; Chordata; Lepidosauria; Squamata; Teiidae.
ACCUGAAAUUACUUGUCUGGUCUCUGAGCCAGUGAAGAAGCAACCCUGUCACAUAUCUGCCCUCUAAACUUGAAAGAGUGCUGGAACCCAAACUGUGUGGCAGCUCUGUAUUCAGAACAAUAUGAGAAAUAUUUCUUUGAGAAGAAACUUGGAAAGUAGAUUUGGAUGGAAAGAGCUGAAAUCUUUGUGAAUCCAACUGAAUCUGCUUCAGAAAAUGUUCAAGGAACUGAAGUGAAAAAAAAGAGCUCGAGAGGGCNAGGAAAAAACCGAGGUGGCAGAGGCUAUCCUAGAGGGAAGAUGCGAGGCAAAGCAAUGAAUGGUUUUGGGCCAAUAAGGGGAAGAAUGCAGCCAUAUCCAGAUGUAAGAGGUCAACAAGGAGCCCGAGGGGGGCUACUUUUCCCAUCUUCUCUGCCCAUGAGAGGAGUUAUGAGGAUGCCGCUUCUGCCUCCGCCACCUCGAUACGAGCUUCCUCCUCCACAUCUUCCUCCCCCACCACCUGAAUCAGUGGGUUUCAGGCCCAGACCUCCUCUCCCUAGACCCAGAGGGAUGCUGCCAUGGCCACGAGGCUACAUUCCACCUCCAAGAGGCUUUCCCAAUGGACCCGGUGCGCCAUGUCUCCCACCACCUGGACGGGGCCAGAGAUGGCCUGGGCCACCAGAUGUCAGAUAUUAUUGA